Bombina bombina (fire-bellied toad) is the source of this 2578-nucleotide long non-coding RNA. RefSeq lists it as uncharacterized. The record is from RefSeq and is a predicted model, not a curated record. Lineage: Eukaryota; Metazoa; Chordata; Amphibia; Anura; Bombinatoridae. The transcript is spliced from 2 exons.
UUCCAGCUACCUUUUCAACAGAGCUAAACUGAGUGCUUCUUAUUUUCAUAUUUAGGUAAAAUCUGUACAGAUAAAAUUCCAUAGUGCACUCACCAAAAGAUAGAAGAUUGAAUGCAAGUAAACCUUUUAAAGGGAGAAAAAAAAUGAAGAUAAAAGACCUUUUGUCAAGCUUGUUUUAACCACCAUACUGCAGUAAAAGGUGCUGAACUAUCUUUGGAUCCAUUCUUUGCUUUGCAUGCUGGUACCAGCCCCAGAACUGGACUCUGGGUAAUCUAUGACUGUUUCCUAUGAUGAGUGUCUUCAGAACAUAAAGACUAUCCUUCUCUGGACAGUGCCUUGCCUGUUGGUAUUGAGAACCUGUUAUGCUGUUACAGGGUCAACCAAUUAAAUUAGGGGAGUAUUGUUUUAACUCAUUUACUUAUAUUGCUUGUUUUAUAUGCUCUUGUAUUUGUGUUAUUUUUGUUGAUCAUAUUAGUUAUAAGAAGUCAUAUAGUUUUGUCCACAGAAAAGCAUGCCUUAUUGGUAUUAGUGCACAUUGUAGUUACUUAAACAAAAUAACCCUCUAGAUAAGCGUCACUCUAAGCCUUGCAGUAUUGUAACCUAUUGAAUGGCCCACUGAAAAUAUGUUUGCAUUUUUAUAGUUUAAAGAAAAUACUCAGAAUAUUUUAGACCCUCCACCCUAUGGAACGCAAUGAGGACAUGUCUCAGCUAGAAAUUUAUAUUAAUUAUACAGAGAAAUAUUUGUUUAGGGAGUAGCAUAAUCAUAGUUUUAUUGAUGGUAUAUUUUCUACCUACCAUGGCUCUUAUUGGAGCUAUGUUAUGAAAGCAAAUGUAUUUUUCCCUUUUAUUAAUUGGUAUGGUAUCUGCAAUUUGAAUUUGGUACUUCCAGAGGUUUGUCAAUGAAAGGAAUUAUCUUACCAUAAAGAUGUGUUUACCUUUAAAAGAUUUUGUAGUUUUAAAUGAUGUUAUGAUUGUAUUAUUUCCUCAUACAGGAGUGUGAGAGAAUUUAGGUUGCAUAAAAUAAUUAGUAAACUAUUAAAUGUUUAUAUCAGAUGAGAUUGUUGACUAUUAGGAACAUAGUUGGAGAAUUAUAAACAUUACAGAUAGUAACUUUGCAGAAUAAAGCAACACUAGGUUCUUUUAUUUUUAGUAGUUCCAAGUGACAGUGUAAAGAAAUUCAUUUUAAAGAAAAUAUUUUUAUUGACUGUUUUAUUUUUUCAUUUUUGUUACAGGGCAGGCCUUAGCAUAAGUUUUAGCAUAGCCAUUCAGCCUCUUGAUGGAGUCUAGCAGUUUUCACUUGCUUAGUAUUCAUGAAGUAUCAUUUAAAUUGUAUAGAGAAGCUGUAAGUUAUUCUCUGUAAAAGUAUUAAUGUAUUUAGUUUGUAUUAUAGAUCAACAAUGUUUUCUUGGUUUUAAAUGACAUAGGAUGAGUUAAGCUAAAGGAAUUGUGAUGCUUAAAAAAGGUGAAAGAAGUUUUGUUUGGACAUAAUUGUGAUUGUAUCGGGGUGUGUAGUCAUCUUGUGCUGUUUCCGUUUCCUUCUUAGACUCCUUCUGACUCGAGUGUCUGCUUGCUAUAGGGAUCAACUGGCUACCUUGUCUACCCCAUGAACAAACCAUCAGACUUCCAGCAUCUACCUGCGGAAGAACACUGGAUAAGCACCACUACUGCAAAUGAACUGUAUUAAAGCAAAGUGUCUGAGGAAGGUUGAGCGCUCUAAGAGGACAAAGACUUUUCUUAAAGUGAUCAGAGGUCACCUAGAGACAUUUGUGCUGUUCCCAUGUCACGCUUCACUGUGGAGAGGGUACAGAGCAAGGAACUGUUGGACAUAUUGGGGGGUGCUAGCAAUGCAGGUGGAGAAAUAAAAGAUGCAGCGUUGUUUGGGGGUAGAUAGGGGGCUGGUUGGGUCUUUGUGCGGAUAGACCAGUAGUUUGAGGAUGUUGGGAGGUAGACGGAGAGUAUUGGAGGGGCCGCACCUAUGUGCAGUGACAAAUUGUGCCCUAUUAGCCUAUAAAAUUAUACCACGACAUGUGAAUAUCUUUUCUCUAUAGUAUUCUCACAUAAAUUCAUGUUACCGUAGUAUUAGACUUAUACUGUUGUUAAAGGCUUUACUAAUUUUCUACGCCUUUCUAUUUUUGUGUUAUUCUGUUAGAAUAAAAGAGUGGUAUGUUAGGAAUUAUUGUUAGCAUGAGUAGCGCCAUCUUGUUCUUGCCCGCCAUUUUGUCUUUGGCAUCCAUCUUGUCUGAAUAACCUUUAUUAUAGUGGUUUAUUCUGUAGUGAAAAAUACAUGUUUGUUAUUAUUCUCUGCAAAGCUAGUUAACCUUGUAGGUGUUCCUGACGCAACGCCUGGAGGGUACUAUCUCUAUAAGAUGCUCAAAUAACCUUGUCUUCAUCCUAGAUGCACUCCUUAUUAUGACUAUAGAAAUAUUGUUUAUGAGCUAGUAUUUUUCCUGACAAACACUGUGUAAAACUGUGUAAAAUGACGCGGCCAUAACGUGUCAUCAUGUUAACCCCAUAUGCUGUAUCUGUUGCUUAUAAGACAUGCUUUGUAUCUUUCAAUAAACAGAAUAGUUUUAGAUCA